AGAGUUUGAUCCUGGCUCAGAUUGAACGCUGGCGGUAUGCUUAACACAUGCAAGUCGAACGGUAGCAGGCCUUCGGGCGCUGACGAGUGGCGGACGGGUGAGUAACGCGUAGGAAUCUGCCUGGUAGUGGGGGACAACGUGGGGAAACUCACGCUAAUACCGCAUACGCCCUACGGGGGAAAGCGGGGGAUCUUCGGACCUCGCGCUAUCAGAUGAGCCUGCGUUAGAUUAGCUAGUUGGUGGGGUAAAGGCCUACCAAGGCGACGAUCUAUAGCUGGUCUGAGAGGACGAUCAGCCACACUGGGACUGAGACACGGCCCAGACUCCUACGGGAGGCAGCAGUGGGGAAUAUUGGACAAUGGGCGCAAGCCUGAUCCAGCAAUACCGCGUGUGUGAAGAAGGCCUUAGGGUUGUAAAGCACUUUCAAUUGGGAGGAAAACAGUUAGAUUAAUACCCUGACUCUUGACAUUACCUUUAGAAGAAGCACCGGCUAACUCCGUGCCAGCAGCCGCGGUAAUACGGAGGGUGCGAGCGUUAAUCGGAAUUACUGGGCGUAAAGCGUGCGUAGGCGGUUAAUUAAGUCAGAUGUGAAAGCCCCGGGCUCAACCUGGGAACGGCAUUUGAUACUGGUUAACUAGAGUUUAAUAGAGGGGAGUGGAAUUUCAGGUGUAGCGGUGAAAUGCGUAGAUAUCUGAAGGAACACCAGUGGCGAAGGCGACUCCCUGGAUUAAAACUGACGCUGAGGUACGAAAGCGUGGGUAGCAAACAGGAUUA
This 774-nucleotide ribosomal RNA is filed under the name uncultured bacterium. Its description in RNAcentral is "bacterial SSU rRNA". It matches the Rfam family "Bacterial small subunit ribosomal RNA", at positions 8 to 780 of the family's 1533-position model. The record is from RNAcentral.